AGGAGCUGCUUACCUUUGUGCUAAAAUUGGAACGAUACAGAGAAGAUUAGCAUGGCUCCUGCGCAAGGAUGACACGCAAAUUCGUGAAGCGUUCCAUAUUUUU
Amblyraja radiata (thorny skate) is the source of this 103-nucleotide small nuclear RNA. The record is from RefSeq and is a predicted model, not a curated record. NCBI's taxonomy places the organism in Eukaryota, Metazoa, Chordata, Chondrichthyes, Rajiformes, Rajidae.